This 27-nucleotide non-coding RNA is filed under the name Mus musculus (house mouse). Lineage: Eukaryota; Metazoa; Chordata; Mammalia; Rodentia; Muridae. The record is from RNAcentral.
UCACACUUUGUGUGCACAGAAACCAAA